Sebastes umbrosus (honeycomb rockfish) is the source of this 391-nucleotide long non-coding RNA. RefSeq lists it as uncharacterized. Lineage: Eukaryota; Metazoa; Chordata; Actinopteri; Perciformes; Sebastidae. The transcript is spliced from 3 exons. The record is from RefSeq and is a predicted model, not a curated record.
GGAGGAAAACAACCAGUCAGAUCCGAGCUGUCAAUCAUUUGCGAACUCCAAACGGUGGUGAACUUGUCUACACGUCUGGCUCGUGUGCAGUAAACUCACCAGGACAGCAGGAGUCAGUGUAGAGGUACUCCAGGAAAGACAGGAAGGUAUCCGAGGAGACACCGUGGAUGGGCACCACUCGGCUCCGGGCCUCUGCGUACUUCCCGCUGAACAUGGCAGCCAUGACGUCACAGCGCGCCACCAGCACUGCUCGAUAAGCGUGGACCCACCUUGCACCAUGAAGAUGACAUCGGAGUAAAGAGGAGAAUUGAAGAGGUUGACAAGAGUCUGGGGGCCGAGCUGAGCUGCCCGGGCGCUCGGGGUGUCCCUGGGGCCCUACAUGCACACACAC